This 85-nucleotide transfer RNA is filed under the name Thermoplasmata archaeon. RNAcentral's name for it is "tRNA-Leu". It matches the Rfam family "tRNA". From Rfam's summary of the family: Transfer RNA (tRNA) molecules are approximately 80 nucleotides in length. Their secondary structure includes four short double-helical elements and three loops (D, anti-codon, and T loops). Further hydrogen bonds mediate the characteristic L-shaped molecular structure. tRNAs have two regions of fundamental functional importance: the anti-codon, which is responsible for specific mRNA codon recognition, and the 3' end, to which the tRNAs corresponding amino acid is attached (by aminoacyl-tRNA synthetases). tRNAs cope with the degeneracy of the genetic code in two manners: having more than one tRNA (with a specific anti-codon) for a particular amino acid; and 'wobble' base-pairing, i.e. permitting non-standard base-pairing at the 3rd anti-codon position. Lineage: Archaea; Methanobacteriati; Thermoplasmatota; Thermoplasmata. The record is from RNAcentral.
GCAGGGAUAGCCAAGCCUGGUCAACGGCGCUAGAUUCAGGGUCUAGUCGCGCAGGCGUUCGCCGGUUCGAAUCCGGCUCCCUGCA